GACGAACGCUGGCGGCGUGCCUAAUACAUGCAAGUAGAACGCACAGUUUAUACCGUAGCUUGCUACACCAUAGACUGUGAGUUGCGAACGGGUGAGUAACGCGUAGGUAACCUGCCUGGUAGCGGGGGAUAACCAUUGGAAACGAUAGCUAAUACCGCAUAAUAUUAAUUAUUGCAUGAUAAUUAAUUGAAAGGUGCAAUUGCACCACUACCAGAUGGACCUGCGUUGUAUUAGCUAGUAGGUGAGGUAACGGCUCACCUAGGCGACGAUACAUAGCCGACCUGAGAGGGUGAUCGGCCACACUGGGACUGAGACACGGCCCAGACUCCUACGGGAGGCAGCAGUAGGGAAUCUUCGGCAAUGGACGAAAGUCUGACCGAGCAACGCCGCGUGAGUGAAGAAGGGUUUCGGAUCGUAAAGCUCUGUUGUAAGAGAAGAACGGGUGUGAGAGUGGAAAGUUCACACUGUGACGGUAUCUUACCAGAAAGGGACGGCUAACUACGUG
RNAcentral lists this ribosomal RNA (505 nucleotides) under uncultured bacterium. RNAcentral's name for it is "partial 16S ribosomal RNA". It matches the Rfam family "Bacterial small subunit ribosomal RNA", at positions 28 to 507 of the family's 1533-position model. The record is from RNAcentral.